AUGGCGCCGACCCGGAAGAAGCGCGCCUCCUCCGCGGCCGCGGCCGCCGCCGCCGCGGCCCAGUGGAAGGUCGGCGACCUCGUGCUCGCCAAGCUCAAGGGCUACCCGGCGUGGCCAGCCAUGAUUAGCGAGCCGCAGAAAUGGGGGCUUCCUUCAACUAAAAAGAAGUUGCUGGUCUACUUUUAUGGAACUAAAGAGAUUGCUUUCUGCAAUUAUGCUGAUCUUGAGGCGUUCACUGAAGAGAAAAAGAAAUCUCUACUUGUUAAACGACAUGGGAAAGGAGCAGAUUUUGUCAAAGCAGUUAAGGAAAUAGUGGAAAUUUUUGAUUCUAUGAAGAACGAGGACAAUAAUAAGAGCGGGUUGGCCCCUGCCAACAAUAGCAGCAGUUUGGACACUGGAGGUCCCGAAGAAGGUUCUGAUUUGGCCAAUGAUAGCAAGCUCGAGGGUAAUCCUGCCUCUUCCAUGGAUCACAGCAUGGCCAGUGCCCCUGGGUCUAAUAUUGCUGCAUUGGAGAGUGAACACUGUGUUGUGAACUCUGCACCUGAUGAGCCUGCUACUUCAUUUUCAAAGAAGAGGAGAAGUAAUGCUCUGCAACUAGGUUCUUGCACUCACCGUAAUCUUACUUCCCCACGGAGGCCAAGAAGUUCAUUAGGUGCUGAUCAUAGGACUCGGGAUUCUUGUGGGCCGAAUGGUCUCAAUCUGCCUCCUGUUGAUAUGACCACUGAUGAUAGGCAGGAAGGCUCUUCUCGGCUUAAAUGUAUAGGUGAUGACAAACCUAAAUCGGAUUUCCUUUCAGCUACGAAGGAUGUUAUGCUGUUCAAUUGCGGUCGAGGCACCUCAAGUCAAUCUGGAGCUUCUCUGAAUGGUAAUUAUGAGAACAAUUUGAGUUCUGCUGCAAAUAUAGAAAGUGAUCUUAAUGUUGAAGUAUGUCAAACUGUCAUGGGUAAAGAAGAUAAUCUGGAUGGGACACAAGAUCUUUCCACGAGUACAGCAGUUACUUCUAAAAGAAAGCGAAGCCCGGACACCAAUGAUGUUAAUAAUUCUAUCAGCAGUGUGGUACCAAAUAUGGAUGAAGAAUUGCAGCCUAAUUCAGGUGGAAACCUGCCAGAUUCUCCAAAUUCAGGGAAUGAAGUCAAUAAGUCAGACGGAGAUGACCACUUGCCAUUAGUGAAAAGGGCACGGGUUCGAAUGGGAAGACCCCAGCUGGAGGACUCCAUGGUUGAUGAGCUUGAUAUUUCUGAUAACAAAAUAGAGUUGGCUAUACCUGUAGAUGAAUGUUAUAAACAUGACCUGUCUUCAACAGUGGGAAAGGAUCAUCCAGCUGAUGAUGUCCCCUAUCGCAUAGAUCCUUCACCCACAGUAGACCCAUCGCUGGCAUCGGGAGAGGUUCAGACUGCUUGCAAGGACAAAGAGUAUCAAUCAAAGGUUUUGACGUUAGAUGGAGAAGCUGCUUUACCUCCAUCUAAACGUCUCCAUCGUGCCUUAGAGGCUAUGUCUGCUAAUGCUGCUGAAACUACUGGUAAUCUGCCUGAAGUGAAUAAGCCAGAGUGUAUCCUGAAGCCUUGCACAGCGUCGAUAGGAAGCUCUCCUUUUAAUAACUCUGCAGAUGCACUUGUCAGAAGUCCAAGAUCUGCAACAACUAAAGGCCCGGAAAUAUGUUCACCAGUACUUUCUUUAGAUACCCCAACUGGCCUAAAGUGUUUGUCACAACCAUUCAUAUUAAACAAGGACUCCCCGUCUUCUGUUUCACUGGAAUUGACAAACGGUGGCAAUCAUGAUCUUCCAAAAGACAAAGUUAGCACCAGGGACGAUGAUGAUAUCUGUGGAAAUUCUCCAGCCUGCUCCUUGGAGUCGAAAGAGGCUGCCUUUGUAUCUAAGUUUGAUCAGUUGCCUAUGGGGAAAGUAAGUACAAAUGAGCUCCCGGAUCCAAUUGGUAAUUCUAGUCGAGAUUUUAGUAAAAAUAUUGAUGGAUCUGCUUAUCCACUUAGCCAUGCAAAGACUGUUGUGCCAGGUGCUAAUCACGAUUCCAAUUCCGAGCCACAAAAUAAGACAGUUUUGGCUGAACCAACAGUCAGUGUGGGUGACAGGACAAGUGCCUCUUCGUUGGUUACUAAAGUUACAUGCAGCCAGAAUGUUGCAGGCGCCCGAGCAUUUGAAGCGCAUGGUUCUUCAGCAACGGCACUGAGAGAACCGGACCACAAAAUUAACAUGAAGGAUAUUGGUUUAUCUCCUGACCCGAUGCCUAUGAAAGGACUUAUUGCUGCUGCACAUGCUCAGAAAUUCUCUCAACCAACUUCUUUCAUAGACAGUUUUUUAGAUUCCAAUGUUAUUUCUGAACCUUCUGUGAAUAUACCUUCAGUUAAGGAAGGAUCAGGUGGCCGGUGUUCACCUUCAAAUACUAUAAUAAGGUCUGCAUCAGAUAGGAUUCAUACUCAGCAGACUAGUGGUAAGAUUCUUUCUGAUAACAUACAACAGAAGAGCUUGAACAAACCAGCAGGUCAUGAUGAAGCCAGGUCAGCACGGAGGGCCUUUGAAAAUUUCCUAGGUACAUUAACAAGAACAAAAGAAUGUAUAGCCCGUGCAACACGUCUGGCUCUGGAUUGUGCUAAGCAUGGCAUUGCUGGGGAGGUAAUGGAUGUCAUCAUCGAACGCCUGGAAAAAGAAUCAAAUUUAUACAAAAGGGUGGACCUGUUCUUCCUUGUUGAUUCAAUAAUCCAGUGCUGUCGCAAUCAGAAAGGUGGAGUUGGAGAUGCCUAUCCUUCUCUUAUCCAAGCAGUCCUGCCACGAAUACUAUAUGCUUCUGCACCUCCUGGAAAUUCUGCAUGGGAGAAUCGAAGACAAUGUCUUAAGGUUUUGAAACUCUGGCUUGAGAGGAAAACGCUUUCAGAAUACAUCAUUCGUCAUCAUAUUAAGGAGCUUGAAGCUCUUAAUGAAGCAUCAUUUGGGACCUCUCGUCGUCAUUCAGGGACAGAGAGAGCUCUGAAUGACCCUUUACGGGAUAAUGAAGGAAUGCUUGUAGAUGAAUAUGGAAGCAAUACUGGUUUCCAUCUUCCAAAUUUGAUCUGCGUGAAACUGCUGGACGAGGAAGGAAGCUCCUCUGAGGAUAGGAGCUUUGAAGCUGUCACUCCUGAACAUGAAUCUACUGGUGCUGAGCAAGGGGAGGGUUCUCAAUUGGAUGGGGCGAAGCAUCGACUUGUCUUUGAAGAAGUGAAUGGUGAUCUUGAGAUGGAAGAUGUAGCCCCAUCAUCUGAAGCGGAAGCUAGCUCUGCAUGCCAACCAGAUCUAACAGCUGCGAGGUGUACACCGACUAGUCAAAAUGUUAAUUCUGUUCCUCCACUACCUGAAGACAAACCUCCAACUCCUCCCCCGUUGCCAUCAUCUCCACCACCUCUACCACGCCCUCAGUGUCCUGUCAUUCAAGGUUCACAGGUUCAAGGAGCAUUGCAUGUGGCACCUGAUCGAGUCGAGCCAGAUACUUUAAGAAAUGUUCAAGAUCAGCACCCUCAUUCUAUUGCAAAUAAUCGAGGCAACAUGGAUCCUUGUGCGGUUCCAUUCCAGCCUCCACCGCCCUAUACUUCUGGGUGUGCAGGGCAUCCAAACCAGAUGCAUCCGCCGCCACCGCCGCCUCCACCACCUGUCGCACCUUUCCAUCCUCCUGGACCCCAUGGAAAUUUUUCUGGGCCCCCAGUACCGCCCCAUGGUAAUAACUAUCACCGUCCACCAGCACCACCACCUCCGAAUAAUGCAUACCAUUUGCAGCCACCACCACCGCAUCCACCAGGUCCGAAUCAGUUCCCAUAUAUGCCACCUGAACACCAACAAAGAGCACAACCUUGGAAUUGUAAUCCUCCCUAUCCUGAGGGAUAUCAGUACAAUGGACAUGACAGAGGACACCCUCCAUACGAUAGGAGACAUCACUUUGAUGAUAGAUGGCACCACUUCGACGAUAGAGGGCAACGCUUUGAUGAUGGAGGGCAUCAUUUCAAUGCCGGAGGUCCUCACUUUGACGAUGGAGCAUAUCGAGGACAAAUGCACCAUGAAUCUAUGGAUAGAGGAAGGUUUCCUCCACAUUUUGGACCAGAUCCCCCGUACCCUGACCAUUUUGAAGCUUCAUCCUCCCACCAUGGGCGACCAUCGGACGGUCCACCUGGUCCAUGCACCGACUGGUCGAUGCCGCCUAGGAGAUCCAAGUAUCCUCCUGGCUCCAGACAUUCAAUGGAGCCUCCAAUGUCCCAUGAAGGAGGUUGGAGGAGGCACGGAAGACACAAUAAUGAUAGAUUCCAUAGAUGA
This 4290-nucleotide ribosomal RNA is filed under the name Triticum aestivum (bread wheat). Its description in RNAcentral is "partial small subunit ribosomal RNA". Lineage: Eukaryota; Viridiplantae; Streptophyta; Magnoliopsida; Poales; Poaceae. The record is from RNAcentral.